Molecule: microRNA, 21 nt
Filed under: Panagrellus redivivus
Lineage: Eukaryota; Metazoa; Nematoda; Chromadorea; Rhabditida; Panagrolaimidae
Description: prd-miR-36-3p
Gene: prd-miR-36-3p
Source: miRBase by way of RNAcentral
CCACCGGGUAGACAGUUGUUC